GGAUGUGAGGGCGAUCCGGCUGUGACAUCUGUCACCCACGGAUCACCAGGGUUUGCUCAUUCGGCUGAUCUGGCUGGCUUGGCUGGUGUCCCCUUCCUCCCUCACCGCUCCAUGUGCGUCCUCCCUGAAGCUGCAUGUUAGGUGGGAGAGGACGCCCACCCCCAACAGAGGACAGAGGAGGACCGUUUCCUCUGUCAAGGGUAGCUGCCCUCCCCUGCUAGAAACUCCAAAACCAAACCAAAACCAAAACAAACAAACAGCAGCAAAAAGAAAAUGAGAUAAUGAAUAUAUAAUGACCGUCACACUGU
Fukomys damarensis (Damara mole-rat) is the source of this 308-nucleotide unclassified non-coding RNA. Its record names the gene 7SK. It matches the Rfam family "7SK RNA". From Rfam's summary of the family: 7SK was discovered as an abundant small nuclear RNA in the mid-70s but a possible function has only recently been suggested. Two independent studies have found that 7SK RNA binds the CDK9/cyclin T complex (known as elongation factor P-TEFb). P-TEFb activates transcription by phosphorylating the C-terminal domain of RNA polymerase II. NCBI's taxonomy places the organism in Eukaryota, Metazoa, Chordata, Mammalia, Rodentia, Bathyergidae. The record is from Ensembl.